AACGGAGCGACAAGCACUCGAGGAGUUAAUGAUUACCUUUCUCUUUUGGGAAAAGAUGAUGUAAACCCCCUCAUCAUGUGACACUUUAAUAAAUAACAGAGAGCCGUUAGAAACAAAACACACUAAAGAUUUGAUCUCUGAGGCUAAAGGGACUGCUUUUCAACGAGGGAAGACGACAGAAUAAAAACACACACAUGUGUUGCCACCCAAUGAACGUGACCCCGCCAGCUGUGGACGAGUGCAGCAGCGCCCCGGGAACUGAGCCCUGCUCUGGGACUCAGCUCCUCGGCACCCGCCUGAGACGGAUCGGGGACCAGCUGGAGAAAAGCAGAGAAAACAGAGAAAGCGCAUCUUAUAAAACAGCUUUGAAGAACAGCGAAAGCUUAAUCCGAGGGUUUUACGCGGUGUGCACGGUCAUCCAGAUCACCGCUGUGGUGAUGCUGAUCAGAAAGCGCUAUCUGUAGGCGGCUAUACUAAGAGCGUGAGUCUCUGCAACACCCGGGAAACCAGCAACAGAUGAUGCCUUUGUGGUGCUAAUGGAGAUUGUCAAAGGGACGGGUGCGAUUUCCAUGGAGUGGCCUUGAGAAGAAUAACAGCUGAAAGGAAACACUCAGUAAGAUUUGCAGUGGAAAACAAAAUGCUCACACGAUGCCAGCAAAACAAAAGCAUGAUAUUUUGAUUACCACCUACAGCGGGACACAGGAACAUUACAUCACGACGGGAUCUUGAAGCAGCCUGUGCGGCAUGGUGAGAUUAAGGGAGGAAAGUCAAAACUAUACCAGAAACCGAGGACUCUUCUUUUUUACAACAUAACUUGAUCAUAAUGCGCAAGUCUGGUGCUGGAAACCCUACAGCGCUGUGCAAUGCCAUACAGGUGUACAGUACUUUAACAUCGGUGAAGCAUACCAUUAUUGAUUCAGACUGAAUGGGCAGAGGGAGAAAUAGAUUGGAGUUACAGCAUGUUCCUACUGUACUAUUCACAUAAGCUGUGAAUGUUUUUCAAUCGUUAUUACUGUAAAACUGCGUGCUUUUUUAAAAUGUUUUUUUCCCCUUACUUCAGAUGUUAUCUGAGAUAUUUAUAAUUAUUCUGUGAAAGUCUUUUUGUACAAAUCCGGAAAAUAAAGUUAUUUC
Long non-coding RNA from Polyodon spathula (Mississippi paddlefish), 1131 nucleotides. RefSeq lists it as uncharacterized. NCBI's taxonomy places the organism in Eukaryota, Metazoa, Chordata, Actinopteri, Acipenseriformes, Polyodontidae. The record is from RefSeq and is a predicted model, not a curated record. The transcript is spliced from 3 exons.